CAGCAGCCGCGGGAAUACGUAGGGUGCAAGCGUUAAUCGGAAUUACUGGGCGUAAAGCGUGCGCAGGCGGAUCAGUUAGUCUGUCUUAAAAGUUCGGGGCUUAACCCCGUGAGGGGAUGGAAACUGCUGAUCUAGAGUAUCGGAGAGGAAAGUGGAAUUCCUAGUGUAGCGGUGAAAUGCGUAGAUAUUAGGAAGAACACCAGUGGCGAAGGCGACUUUCUGGACGAAAACUGACGCUGAGGCGCGAAAGCCAGGGGAGCGAACGGGAUUAGAUACCCGGGUAGUCCCUGUCUCUUAUACA
RNAcentral lists this ribosomal RNA (301 nucleotides) under uncultured bacterium. RNAcentral's name for it is "partial 16S ribosomal RNA". It matches the Rfam family "Bacterial small subunit ribosomal RNA", at positions 509 to 809 of the family's 1533-position model. The record is from RNAcentral.